UAAAAUAAUUAUGUUUUUGGUAAUUUAUUAUAAAUUUAUUUUACAUAUAAAUUUUAGUGUUAAUUUUUAAUUAUUUUAAAAAUAAUUAAUUAUUUUAGUAGUAAUUAAUAUUAAAAAUUUAAGAAAUUAAGAUUUAGUGAUAUUAAAAUUAAUAACUAAUUUUGUGCCAGCAGUUGCGGUUAAACAAAAGUUAAAUUAAAUUGUUUCAGUUUAUAAUAAAUAAAAUAUAAAUUAAAAUAAAUAUUAAAUUAUUAGGUGAAAUUUUAAUUUAAUUAAAUUUUAUUUUAAUUUUAUGAUUUAAUAAAUUUAUAAAUAAACUAGGAUUAGAUACCCUAUUAUUAAAAAAUUAAUUUAUAAUACUAAAAUAGUAAAUAAUAAUUUAUUGAAACUUAAAUAAUAUGGCGGUAUUUUAGUUCAUUUAGAGGAAUCUGUCUAAUAAUUGAUAAUCCACGAAUAAAUUUACUUAAUUUAUAAUUUUGUAUAUCAUUGUUAAAAAAAUAUUUUUUAGUAAAAUUAAUAUUUAAAAUUUAAAAUAAAAGUUAAUUCAGAUCAAGAUGCAGAAUAUAAUUAAGAAUAUGAUGGAUUACAAUAAAUAUAUUUAAAUGAAUAAUUUUUUGUAAGAAAAAUUUGAAGGUGGAUUUAAAUGUAAUUUUAAUUAAUUUAUUAAAAUGAUUAAAAAUUAAAAUAUGUACAUAUUGCCCGUCACUUUCAUUUAAAAAUUGAAAUAAGUCGUAACAAAGUAGAGGUACUGGAAAGUGUUUCUAGAAAGAU
This 771-nucleotide non-coding RNA is filed under the name Pontia edusa. Lineage: Eukaryota; Metazoa; Arthropoda; Insecta; Lepidoptera; Pieridae. The record is from RNAcentral.